This 386-nucleotide ribosomal RNA is filed under the name uncultured bacterium. RNAcentral's name for it is "bacterial SSU rRNA". It matches the Rfam family "Bacterial small subunit ribosomal RNA", at positions 30 to 427 of the family's 1533-position model. The record is from RNAcentral.
AUUGAACGCUGGCGGCAGGCUUAACACAUGCAAGUCGAGCGGAGACUUCGGUCUUAGCGGCGAACGGGUGAGUAAUACCUAGGAAUCUGCCUAUUAGUGGGGGAUAACGAAUCGAAAGGUUCGCUAAUACCGCAUACGUCCUACGGGAGAAAGGGGGGAUCUUCGGACCUCUCGCUAAUAGAUGAGCCUAGGCCGGAUUAGCUAGUUGGUAGGGUAAAGGCCUACCAAGGCGACGAUCUGUAGCUGGUCUGAGAGGAUGGCCAGCCACACUGGAACUGAGACACGGUCCAGACUCCUACGGGAGGCAGCAGUGGGGGAAUAUUGGACAAUGGGGGCGAACCCUAGAUCCAGCCAUGCCGCGUGUGUGAAGAAGGCCUCGUGUAGUA